RNAcentral lists this transfer RNA (74 nucleotides) under Chloroflexota bacterium. Its description in RNAcentral is "tRNA-Gln". It matches the Rfam family "tRNA". Rfam says of the family: Transfer RNA (tRNA) molecules are approximately 80 nucleotides in length. Their secondary structure includes four short double-helical elements and three loops (D, anti-codon, and T loops). Lineage: Bacteria; Bacillati; Chloroflexota. The record is from RNAcentral. RNAcentral also lists the same sequence under 3 other names.
UGCCGGAUCGUUCAAUGGUAGGACAGCGGCCUUUGAAGCCGUGAAUCUAGGUUCGAAUCCUAGUCCGGCAGCCA